CCUACGGGUGGCAGCAGUGGGGAAUAUUGGGCAAUGGGCGCAAGCCUGACCCAGCAACGCCGCGUGAAGGAAGAAGGCUCUCGGGUUGUAAACUUCUUUUCUCAGGGACGAAACAAGUGACGGUACCUGCGGAAUAAGCCACGGCUAACUACGUGCCAGCAGCCGAGGUAAGACGGCGUGGGCAAGCGUUAUCUGGAUUUACUGGGUGUAAAGGGCGUGUAGGCGGGAAAGCAAGUCAGAUGUGAAAACCAUGGGCUCAACCUGUGGCCUGCAUUUGAAACUGUUUGUAUUGAGUACUGGGGAGGCAGACGGAAUGCCUAGUGUAGCGGUGAAAUGCGUAGAUAUUAGGAGGAACACCAGUGGCGAAGGCGGUCUGCUGGACAGCAACUGACGCUGAGGCGCGAAAGCGUGGGGAGCAAACAGGAUUAGAUACCCUAGUAGUC
RNAcentral lists this ribosomal RNA (443 nucleotides) under uncultured bacterium. RNAcentral's name for it is "partial 16S ribosomal RNA". It matches the Rfam family "Bacterial small subunit ribosomal RNA", at positions 338 to 795 of the family's 1533-position model. The record is from RNAcentral.